Molecule: ribosomal RNA, 518 nt
Filed under: uncultured bacterium
Lineage: Bacteria
Description: bacterial SSU rRNA
Rfam family: Bacterial small subunit ribosomal RNA
Source: RNAcentral
CUUAAGUGGGGAAUAACGCAUCGAAAGGUGUGCUAAUACCGCAUAAUCUCUGAGGAGAAAAGCAGGGGAUCGCAAGACCUUGCGCUUUUGGAGCGGCCGAUGUCUGAUUAGCUUGUUGGUGAGGUAAAAGCUUACCAAGGCUUCGAUCAGUAGCUGGUCUGAGAGGACGACCAGCCACACUGGGACUGAGACACGGCCCAGACUCCUACGGGAGGCAGCAGUGGGGAAUUUUGGACGAUGGGGGCAACCCUGAUCCAGCCAUGCCGCGUGAGUGAAGAAGGCCUUCGGGUUGUAAAGCUCUUUCAGCCGGAACGAAACGGUUACGGUUAAUACCCGUGACUACUGACGGUACCGGAAGAAGAAGCACCGGCUAACUACGUGCCAGCAGCCGCGGUAAUACGUAGGGUGCGAGCGUUAAUCGGGAUUACUGGGCGUAAAGCGUGCGCAGGCGGUUUUGUAAGUCAGAUGUGAAAUCCCCGGGCUUAACCUGGGAACUGCGUUUGAAACUACAAAGCUAG